GGCUCGCAGCCAACGCUGGCAGCAUGGCUAAAGAUGCAAGUCGAAGGCCGUAGCAAUACGGAGUGGCAGACUGGUGAGCAACACCUGGGAAAGUGCCUUUUGGUUCGGAACAACCCAGGGAAACUUGGGCUAAUACCGGAUAAGGCCUUCGGGGGAAAGAUUUAUCGCCAGAAGAUCGGCCCGCGUCUGAUUAGCUAGUUGGUGGGGUAACGGCCCAACAAGGCUACGAUCAGUAGCUGGUCUGAGAGGAUGAUCAGCCACACUGGGACUGAGACACGGCCCAUACUCCUACUGGAGGCAGCA
Molecule: ribosomal RNA, 303 nt
Filed under: uncultured Alphaproteobacteria bacterium
Lineage: Bacteria; Pseudomonadati; Pseudomonadota; Alphaproteobacteria
Description: bacterial SSU rRNA
Rfam family: Bacterial small subunit ribosomal RNA
Source: RNAcentral